GGGGCUGAUUCUGGAUUCGACGGGAUUUGCGAAACCCAAGGUGCAUGCCGAGGGGCGGUUGGCCUCGUAAAAAGCCGCAAAAAAAUAGUCGCAAACGACGAAAACUACGCUUUAGCAGCUUAAUAACCUGCUUAGAGCCCUCUCUCCCUAGCCUCCGCUCUUAGGACGGGGAUCAAGAGAGGUCAAACCCAAAAGAGAUCGCGCGGAUGCCCUGCCUGGGGUUGAAGCGUUAAAACUAAUCAGGCUAGUCUGGUAGUGGCGUGUCCGUCCGCAGGUGCCAGGCGAAUGUAAAGACAGACUAAGCAUGUAGUACCGAGGAUGUAGGAAUUUCGGACGCGGGUUCAACUCCCGCCAGCUCCACCA
RNAcentral lists this transfer-messenger RNA (363 nucleotides) under Salmonella enterica subsp. enterica serovar Infantis. It matches the Rfam family "transfer-messenger RNA". From Rfam's summary of the family: Bacterial tmRNA, also known as 10Sa RNA or SsrA, is named for its dual tRNA and mRNA-like properties. RNAcentral also lists the same sequence under 32 other names. The record is from RNAcentral. Lineage: Bacteria; Pseudomonadati; Pseudomonadota; Gammaproteobacteria; Enterobacterales; Enterobacteriaceae.